RNAcentral lists this ribosomal RNA (301 nucleotides) under uncultured bacterium. Its description in RNAcentral is "partial 16S ribosomal RNA". It matches the Rfam family "Bacterial small subunit ribosomal RNA", at positions 509 to 807 of the family's 1533-position model. The record is from RNAcentral.
CAGUAGCCGCGGUAAUACGGAGGGUGCAAGCGUUAAUCGGAAUUACUGGGCGUAAAGCGUGCGUAGGCGGUGAGUUAAGUCUGCUGUGAAAUCCCCGGGCUCAACCUGGGAAUAGCAGUGGAUACUGGCUCGCUAGAGUGUGUCAGAGGAUGGUGGAAUUCCCGGUGUAGCGGUGAAAUGCGUAGAGAUCGGGAGGAACAUCAGUGGCGAAGGCGGCCAUCUGGGACAACACUGACGCUGAGGCACGAAAGCGUGGGGAGCAAACAGGAUUAGAUACCCGUGUAGUCCAUGUCUCUUAUAC